GUAAUGAGCCAUCUAAUCAGGACCGACCACCUCCUCAAAUCUCAGGGAGAUUGAAGAAAUUGGAUUUGAGAACUUACAUGCGUCGGAAUAAGACAUACAGCCAUUGGGCUUGAUAAACUUGAUCAACCAGCAUCCUUGGAAUCAAUUCUUGAAGAAUGUGGUGAGUUUCCAUUACUUCCCGCUGAUCCUAAUUCUAUUUUUGAGCUUAAUU
This 211-nucleotide unclassified non-coding RNA is filed under the name Hevea brasiliensis (rubber tree). The record is from RNAcentral. Lineage: Eukaryota; Viridiplantae; Streptophyta; Magnoliopsida; Malpighiales; Euphorbiaceae.